RNAcentral lists this long non-coding RNA (328 nucleotides) under Carica papaya (papaya). Its description in RNAcentral is "long non-coding RNA (CPAP_LNC012801)". The record is from RNAcentral. Lineage: Eukaryota; Viridiplantae; Streptophyta; Magnoliopsida; Brassicales; Caricaceae.
UAAUCUUUGUAAAAUAUCAGACUAUUGAAGAUAUUAAUAAGGUGGAGAAAUCAAAGUCUCAUAUUGGUGGUUUGAUUGACUUAGACCCAUCUUCUACAACUCAUAUGCCUAAUGCAGUUGAAGUUCAGAAUCAUGAUGUACAAAAUAACAAUCAUAAUACAGAUGAGAUUGGUGCUCCUGAAUAUGAAGCAGUUGAUGUUCAACAAGAAACACAUGUUGAGGAACUUGAAGUUCCACUUAGAAAGUCUACUAGAGAUCAAACACAUUCUACUAGUAUUCACCUAAUGAGUACAUACUUUUGAUAGAUGAAGAAGAACAUGAAUGUUAU